Molecule: non-coding RNA, 28 nt
Filed under: Macaca fascicularis (crab-eating macaque)
Lineage: Eukaryota; Metazoa; Chordata; Mammalia; Primates; Cercopithecidae
Also listed under: 1 other name
Source: RNAcentral
UGCUCUUUCCUGCUAAAGUGGCCCCUGC